AGAGCGAACGCUGGCGGCAGGCCUAACACAUGCAAGUCGAGCGCCCGUAGCAAUACGGGAGCGGCAGACGGGAUAGUAACACGUGGGAACGCGCCCUUCGGUUCGGAAUAACUCAGGGAAACUUGAGCUAAUACCGAAUACGCCCUUACGGGGAAAGAUUUAUUGCCGAAGGAACGGCCCGCGUCCGAUUAGCUAGUUGGUGAGGUAAUGGCUCACCAAGGCUACGAUCGGUAGCUGGUCUGAGAGGAUGACCAGCAUCACUGGGACUGAGACACGGCCCAGACUCCUACGGGAGGCAGCAGUGGGGAAUAUUGGACAAUGGGCGCAAGCCUGAUCCAGCCAUGCCGCGUGGAUGAUGAAGGCCUUAGGGUUGUAAAGUCCGUUUUAACGGGGAAGAUAAUGACGGUACCGUAGAAUAAGCCCCGGCUAACUUCGUGCCAGCAGCCGC
Molecule: ribosomal RNA, 448 nt
Filed under: uncultured bacterium
Lineage: Bacteria
Description: SSU rRNA
Rfam family: Bacterial small subunit ribosomal RNA
Source: RNAcentral